UAGGGAAUCUUCCGCAAUGGGCGAAAGCCUGACGGAGCAACGCCGCGUGAGUGAUGAAGGUCUUCGGGUUGUAAAGCUCUUUUGUCCGGGAAGAUAAUGACUGUACCGGAAGAAUAAGCCCCGGCUAACUUCGUGCCAGCAGCCGCGGUAAUACGAAGGGGGCUAGCGUUGCUCGGAAUCACUGGGCGUAAAGGGCGCGUAGGCGGACUUUUAAGUCGGGGGUGAAAGCCCAGGGCUCAACCCUGGAAUUGCCUUCGAUACUGGGAGUCUUGAGUUCGGAAGAGGUUGGUGGAACUGCGAGUGUAGAGGUGAAAUUCGUAGAUAUUCGCAAGAACACCGGUGGCGAAGGCGGCCAACUGGUCCGAAACUGACGCUGAGGCGCGAAAGCGUGGGGAGCAAACAGG
RNAcentral lists this ribosomal RNA (404 nucleotides) under Actinomycetes bacterium. RNAcentral describes it as "Actinobacteria bacterium partial 16S ribosomal RNA". It matches the Rfam family "Bacterial small subunit ribosomal RNA", at positions 355 to 776 of the family's 1533-position model. Lineage: Bacteria; Bacillati; Actinomycetota; Actinomycetes. The record is from RNAcentral.